This 273-nucleotide ribosomal RNA is filed under the name uncultured bacterium. RNAcentral's name for it is "partial 16S ribosomal RNA". It matches the Rfam family "Bacterial small subunit ribosomal RNA", at positions 524 to 796 of the family's 1533-position model. The record is from RNAcentral.
UACGUAGGGGCCGAGCGUUGUCCGGAGUUAUUGGGCGUAAAGCGCGCGCAGGCGGCUUCGCGCGCCCGACGUGAAAGCCCCCGGCUUAACCGGGGAGAGUCGUUGGGGACGGCGGAGCUUGAGGGCGGGAGAGGGCGGUGGAAUUCCCGGUGUAGUGGUGAAAUGCGUAGAGAUCGGGAGGAACACCUGUGGCGAAGGCGGCCGCCUGGGCCGACCCUGACGCUGAGGCGCGAAGGCGUGGGGAGCGAACGGGAUUAGAAACCCCAGUAGUCC